This is a long non-coding RNA of Papaver somniferum (opium poppy), 2929 nucleotides long. RefSeq lists it as uncharacterized. The record is from RefSeq and is a predicted model, not a curated record. The transcript has 6 exons. NCBI's taxonomy places the organism in Eukaryota, Viridiplantae, Streptophyta, Magnoliopsida, Ranunculales, Papaveraceae.
UCUGUUUUUAUUUCAAAUUCUAUCAUAUCCCUUGGAAGAUCUUACUUUGAGUGUUUCAAAAUGUUUGGGAAGUGGAAAUUGCUUUUUCUUAACAUUCAUUUGCUUUAUGUUAAACAUGAGAUUGCAGUUAGUGUAUACUUCUUGUUUGGGAAGUGGAAAAUGUAUGUGUUAACAGACAAUAUGGGCAGAACAAUUUCAUAUCCAUUAUGUGACAGCUGAACUGAUCGAAGACAUCUUUAGAGAGUCACACCGGCUGGAAACCUUUGAUGCUCUAAAACAAUACCAAAGAUAAGGGGACAAGUCCAAGAGUAUUUGCAGAUAAACAGUGCAUUAGUAGCCAAAAAACUGAGCGCAUGUCUUCUUUAAUUAAUUGAUCCCAGAGCUUAUACUAUCAAAAUAAAAGAAAAUUAUAGUUCAUAAAAGAUAUCAUACUGGAGCCUAGGGAAUCAAUUUUACUUUUCAAGGUUCAAUCUCUGCAUCUUGGUUGCAGGUUUCAAAAUCAUUGUUUUUAUACUCUAUAGUAAGGCAAGGAAUUGUCCGUGGAUAUUCGGUUUGUAUUCCAUAAACCAUGCUUUCUCUUCUCUUAUAAAGCAUCAUUAAAAGAAAAUACCAUGAACUAUAAGCUUGAACUUUCUUAUGAGAGCAUUCGGGGAACCCAGCUGUGUCGACCGAAAUACUUUAACGCUCGGUUUCUCGUAAUUCAGAUUUGAUAUCUUCAAAUAAGUUUAUUGUUCGAUAGUCUGAUAAUGGUCCUUAUAUUCCCUCCAGCAAGUAGUCAUCUUAGCACACUCCGUCAUUUUCUCAUAUGAAGAGCGAAAUUCAAGAAUCACUUAUCACAACUAGAAGAAUCAAAACCCAAUAAUUUAGUGAUAUAUUCACCUUUUGAGUAGUGGAGAGUGAAAAGGGAAUUGAUUCAGGAUGACUUACAUGUCGAGACAGUGGAUGGAAUUCCAUCUCACUGAUUGCGGGUUUCAUUCUGUCGAUAGAUUCGUCGUGGAUCUAUGAAGUGGUCAUCGUUUUUCGUUGAGCUGGUCAGGUGGUCCAGGAGGUGAAACUCAGCUAUGACGCAGGGCUCAUUGACUUUGAGUUGGAUCAGACAGGAUCUAUGCUUUUAAGUUAUUUCUUGGAUUGGACAUGCACAAUGGAAUUUGUUUACAUAAAAAGUGUGGCUCAGUUUCUUCAGAAGAAAAAAGUAAGUUGCAGUCAAGCUGGUUGCUUUGGAAUAGAACAUCAUCUGGAUAGGCCAUGCCUGCUUACGAUGCUUGCUGCUAGGGUUUAUGUAAUGCUCCUUUUUGAUAUCCUAGAAGGGGGUUGGGUUAUUUUUUCAUACAUUGAAUAAUCAGUGGUUUAUAAAUAACAACCCUGAAAGUGUACUUCAUGCGUCUGAAGAAUAAUGAAUCUGAUAGCGUUUUACGAGGACUCAGAGGAAACCCAUUCAACUGAUCUAUGUACACGUGCGGCAACGAGUGACGAGAAAAAUAGGACCUUGCUUUAAGAUGGGAUACUGUCUCCUUCGCUAUGUGGAGUGGUUAUUUGUUAUAAAAAGUAUGAGUUUCUUGUCUUCUCAGCAAUUCAACUUAAGUGACAAUUCUGCAUGGAUGUUUGCUUCAAAGGGUCCGUUGACAGCAGCUAGUAUCAGGGAGUGCAUAGGUGAUUUUCGAGAUUAUUAGGAACUUGGCCAAAUUUGCAGCAAGACUAGGUCAAUCUUUUGCUUCCUCGACAGAAACUUUAAGUGGCGAGUAAGGGCGGGUUGAAAAGUAUGCCAUCUGCCUUCUUCCAAAAUAGGUAUGGUGGAUCUAGUGGUUUUUCAGAAUCUUAAAAAGCAUGAGUAAAUUCACGUCACAGAACACCAAACUUGAUGUUCUAAAAUGGAGCAAGUUUCAGCCAUUUUUUCGUAAUCGUCAAGUAAUGAUCCUUUUGUCUAGGCAUCAGUGAUUAUGUAUUUGAAAAUGAACAAAAAAGAAGCAGUCUAUGAACUUGAUUCGAUAUAACCGGUCCACUAAGGGCAUGUGAAGCACUAGGGAUCCUGUCCGUAGCAGAAGCUUUUGUGUGAUUCCAAGGCUGAUCAAGAAUCAUUCCUUUCAGUGAUGCUUCAAACAGUUCAUGUGGCCAAGCUGUUAGAGUUACGGACUAAGACAUAGAUAUUUGUUGUUCCAAAGAGAAGAUCUAUGAUCAGAUACAUAGAUGAAGCGGCGACCUUGGAGUAUGGGAAGGUAUUCGUUCAGGUUUCUUGCCUUGGUCGCGAACAGUCUGUGGAGAUUCACACUCUAUGCUUAAUGAGAAUGGACCAGAGGACAAUAACUUUGUUGUACUUGGAAAGGUCAGCAUUGCUAAAAAUCCGUUGCUGCACCCUGGUGAUAUGUGUCUUGCAGGCUGUCGAUGUGCCAGCGCCAUAUGGUGGAUUGUGUUUUAUUUCCUCGAUAAGGAAAAAGACCCCAUCCAAAUGAAUGUUCAGAGAGUGAUUUUAAAAGUGACGAGUGACUUAUACUUUGUCUGUUGCACCUCAUUCAAAUCGAGCCUAUGUACGAUGAUGCAGCACCUAUAAUAAGGCUCUUGGAUCAUGGUAUGUCAGAUUGAGGUCUGGGUACUGUGGUUUUUGUAAGCAGUUAUUCUACUUGGUCAUUCUUGUCUUUAAGUAGCAGAAGCAGUUUAUACCCGACACCUCUAUAUCAUGGAAAGGUUUUUUUCUUAUCUUUUCUGGAAACAGAUUAAGCCGGCAAAACAAAGUUAGGACUCCGGACUCUCUAUAGCUUUCAAGUUAAAAAUGUUAAAAAUUAAUCUCUUAUGGCAUUAAGACAGGUCAGCCAGUAGAGUCAGACAAUAUGAAAAGGUUAGCGCUAGAAAUUAUGUACAUGAUCAUGAUUGACUAUUUAUGUAAAAUUUCAUAUUUUUCUCCUUUUAUCUUUGAAAACAAGAUACCAUUGUUGUA